AGGCAAACCACGGCAAUGGUAAUAUUGUUAAUUUGAGUAGGGUUUUUCUGCAGAAUUCAAUUGUAUAUUCUUAUUGCAGAAACAGGGGAUUUAUACAUCACAAUGUACAGCCUUCCUAGUUGUAUUUGGAAAGGAAACAAUUACGAUCCCAUGACAAUCGGGAUUUACAUAAAUAGAAGAUAAACGUGACUAUUACAGCUAUAAUUUCCUAUUGUCUCUCGGUUUGUACAGCUCAUGCCAACACUCCUCCUCAAGUUGGUGUAGAAAUGUCUUUGAUACCCAGCUUGUCAAGUGAGCUGUGAAAGUUUUUGUUUGAAACGGCUUUUGUAAGCAUGUCCGCAAGUUGGUCCUCUGAUCUGACGAACGGAAAGCGAAUUACCUUUUCUUCAAGAUUCUGUUUAAUAAAAUGCCGGUCUAUCUCAAUAUGCUUCGUUCUGUCAUGUUGGAUUGGGUUCUGAGAUAUUUCUAUUGCGGCUUUAUUAUCACAAUAUAAAUUCAUUUCUGAAUUGGGUGCAAAUCCAAUUUCUGAGAGUAGGCGUCUGAGCCAUAAAAGCUCGCAAAGCCCCUUUGCCAUACCUCUAAACUCGGCUUCCGCACUUGAUAGAGCUACCACCUUUUGUUUCUUACUCCUCCACGUAACCAAGUUGCCUCCGACGAAUGUGAAGUAUCCUGAUGUGGAUUUUCUGUCGGCCAAGUUUCCUGCCCAGUCUGCAUCUGUAUAGCCUUCAACAUCUAAGUGAUCAUUCUUAGAGAACAUAAUCCCCUUUCCCGGAGCUGAUUUCAAGUAUCGAAGAAUUCGAACAACCGCAUCCAUGUGAUCUUUACUAGGGCAAUGCAUAAAUUGACUGACCACGCUCACCGCGUAUGAAAUAUCUGGACGAGUAUGAGAUAAAUAAAUUAGCUUACCCACCAGUCGUUGAUACCUCUCUUUGUCAGUUGGGGUUUGAUCAGGAUACUCCCCAAGUUUCUGAUUCUGAAUUGUUGGAGUAUUCGCCGGCUUGCAGUCGAGCAUUCCAACUUCGGCUAGUAGAUCAAGUACAUACUUUCGUUGUGAUAGAAAGAUGCCUUGUUUUGAUCUAGCCACUUCUAUUCCAAGAAAAUAUUUGAGUCCACCCAAGUUCUUCAUUUCAAAUUCCAUGGCCAAAUGUUUCUCCAGUCUAUAGAUUUCUUCUGAAUCAUCUCCUGUGAUUAUCAUGUCAUCGACAUAGAUUAUCAAGGCAGUUAUUUUCCCUUGUCGUCGUUUUAGGAAGAGAGUAUGAUCUGAGUUGCUUUGUUGAAAACCAUACUUUCUCAUAGCCAUGCUAAAGCGACCAAACCAUGCACGCGGUGAUUGUUUCAGUCCAUACAAUGCCCUUUGUAACCUGCAGACAAUUCCUGUGGAGGAUGACAUAUAGCCUGGUGGGAUAUCCAUGUAUACUUCUUCCUUAAGAUCUCCGUGAAGAAAGGCGUUCUUCACGUCAAAUUGGUGUAGGGGCCAAUCUAGAUUUGCAGCCACAGAUAACAGCACCCUCACGGUGUUUAGCUUCGCUACAGGGGAAAAUGUCUCCUGAUAGUCUAUGCCGUAUGUCUGAGUAUAUCCCUUAGCCACUAACCUCGCCUUGUAUCGUUCAAUGGAUCCAUCUGCUUUGUGUUUAAUUGAGAAUACCCACUUACACCCCACUGUUUUUUUUCCAGCCGGCAGUGGGACAAGAUCCCAAGUUCUAUUCCGAUUCAAAGCUUCCAUUUCCUCUUGUAUUGCUACUGACCAUUUGUGAUCUGCUAAGGCUUCAUGGACUCCGCAAGGAAUGUGAUCUGAAGACAGCUUUUGUGCAAAUUUUAUAAGAGGAUCAGACCAGCCUUUUGUUGUCAUAUGAUUAGAAAUUGGGUACUUGGAUUUCUUCCCUGCUUCUCCAGGAGAGUAGCGAGCUGGAGCUUUGCCACGGUUACUCCUGAAAGGUAAGUGAUAACCAGUUGCAAUAUCCAAAACAUUGCUGGAAGGUGAUGCAGAAGGUCUUACCUCAGGAAUAUUCUCAGGAGAAGGAUUGUCACUGUCGGGUACUUCCAAAAGAGGGGUUCUUCUACUAGGAGAUUCAUCGUCAGAGUCAAUAACCAUGAUGUCUUCAUACAGGCCAUUAUCUGCAACUGGUGAUGGUGUUCCUGUUGGUGUUCCCGUUAUUGCUUCUUCCUCUAUAUGUAUAGCAGCAUCCGCUUCUUCCUCUAUAUGUCUAUUUGUGUAACAGCUGCUUCUGUCUCCUCCUGUGAUGGCGCCACUGUCACCACGGUAGGGGCUGCUGUCACCAUGGUUUCCUCCUCCUGUGAUGGAGGAGCUGCUGUCACCACUGUUUCUUCAAUUUGUCCCGUCCACCACUUCUGCUCUUCAUCCCAAGUCUCCCUCUGAAGAGAAGAAGCUGAUACAUGUGAUGAAUAAAACUUGUCCGAUUCUACAAAUGUGACAUCCAUUGUUAUAUAUACCCGAUUUUUAUUCGGGUCAUAGCAGCGAUACCCUUUCUUGUUGGUACCAUACCCCAAAAAUAUGCACCGAACAGCACACGGUUCCAGCUUGGUCCUUUGAUUUUUAUGCAAAUGAACAAAGGCAACACAUCCAAAUAUACGUGGCUUAAUGAGUAGUAAAGAUGGUAGAGUGACAUGUUUUGACAAAACCUGUAAUGGGGUGUUGAAAUCCAAAACCUUAGAGGGCAUACGGUUCAUUAGAUACACAGCCGAAGCAAUAGCGUCAUCCCAAUGACGGCCGGGUGUAUUUGAUCCAAUCAACACGGCUCGUGCAGUUUCUAAGAUGUGUCGAUUCUUCCUUUCGGCUACUCCAUUUUGUUGUGGCGUCUGACUACACGAUGACUCAUGGAGGAGACCAGUUCUUUGGAAAUAUUCAUGAAAAUUGCGAUUCAUAUACUCUCCCCCAUUGUCCGUCCGAAGAAUACGGACCUUUGCUGAAUAUUGGUUCUGAAUCAUAGCAUGAAAUGCUCGAAAUACACCAAAUACUUCAUCCUUGCGUUUCAACAAGUAUAGCCACGUCAUCCGCGUACAAUCAUCUACAAAAGUCACAAACCAUUGUAUACCCGAGAUAGUUGUAAUAGGGGAAGGUCCCCAAACAUCAGAGUGAAUUAGAGUAAAUGGAAUAUCACUUUUAUUCAUGCUAGUUGGAAAAGGUACACGGUGACUCUUGGCCAAUAUGCAUGUUUCACAUCUGAAAUUUGAGUAACUCAAAGUUGAAAAUAACUGCGGAAAUAAAUGUUUCAUAUAGCUAAAUGAAGGGUGCCCCAACCGAGAGUGCCAUAACCAAAUCUGUUCUUCGCGUGCGCUAGAUGUGCGACUCAUGGUAUUGACUUUGCCGAAACUGAAGUCGUCCAUGUAGUAUAACCCCUCUCUUUUAGUACCACGCCCAAUGAUCUCCUUCGUGAGAAUAUCCUGAAAAAGACAAAAUGUUGGAUACAUUAGCACUAAGCAAUUGAGUUCUUCGGUGACUUGUCCCACUGAUAAUAAUUUACUGGAAAGAGAGGGUACUAAAAGAGUGUUAGCCAAUGAGAUUGAAGAUGAUAUAUCUACGGUUCCAGCUCCUGUAACCGGAUACUUAACCCCAUUGGCAUUGAAUAUAUUAUUUCGCCUUGGCUCUGUAAUUUCCACGAAAUCAUCUUGACAAAACGUCAUAUGAUCAGUAGCUCCUGAAUCCACUAUCCAGUCUUCAUUCUUGCCUGCGUUAGACACAAGUAAGGCACUGCUGUCAUUACUGGAAUUGUUACCUGGAUUACCGAGAGAGGCUGCCUUGUCCUCCUUUGAUUCAACAAGUGGGACGAGUGAAAGGGUGGCUUCUGGAUUUAUAGGGGCUGAAUUAACCAUGGCUGCUCUUCCAGUUCCACCAGCAGCUUCUUUUUGUUUUCUUGCCUUGAGUUCUGUCCACCAUUCGGGGUAGCCAUGUAUUUUAAAACAUGUCUCACGGGUGUGUUUCAAGUUCCCACAGUGAGAGCAUCCAUCGUUUCCUCCUUCUACAUGGCCCUUAGUUUUUGCAGGAUUAAAUUUCCCCCCAUGUGAAGAGGAGUUUCCAGUCUUGGCUACCUGCAAUGUAAAUUUGUUUUGUGAACCAGUUAUCAUACCUCUAGAGAUCAUUGCAGCAGCAUCUGGAAUAUUUCCUCUGUUGGACAGCAUCACGGCCUGCCUUAUGUCUUCCCUCCGGACAUGGGCAUACGCCUGUUCUACAGUUGGAAAUGGUUUCAGUUGCAACACAUCACUCCUGAUUUUAUCAAGCCUGUCAUCUAAUCCAUCAAGAAAGGUGUACACCCGAUCCUCUUGCAAGAGAGUGUUGUAUUUUUGUAUAUCAUGAACACAAUUCAUCGGGUUUGGACGACGAAAGUCAAUCUCCCUCCAUAAGCCUUGGAGAUCAUUGUAGUAUUUUUCAAUUGGUUCUCCCGAUUGUUUCAUCUUAUUUACUCGCCUCUUUAGAUCAUACACCUGAGAUGUAUCAGCCCCAUCAAAGUAAGUUACAGCAAUUGAAUCCCAUACCUGUUUAGCUGUAGGGAAUCGAAUAAAGUUGUUGACCAAGGAUGGGUUCAUUGAGCCAAUUAACCAUCCUUUUACCACUGAGUUUUCUGUCCUCCACCUCCUAAACGAAGGGUCAUUCGGUUCUGGUUGUGGAAGAUCACCAUUUAUAUAUCCCAAUUUGUCUUUUCCUGAGAUGAACAUCUCAACAAUUUGGGACCAUAAAGCAUAAUUGGUACCAUCGAGUUUGAUACCAAUCUGUGUUGCAGUAAUAUCAUGCAUUACUGUUGGAGUCUGUGUUUGAUUCUGGUUUAUGGCUUGAGUCAUUCUUGCCAUAAGGUCUUCAAGAUUUGCAGCCAUAUUUGGUUGCUCUAGUUCUGCUGGUGCUCCUUCCAUUCCUUCUAUUCCCUCCAUUAUCGUAUGCUGCUAUUGGUUCCAGCAACUUUCGUUGUAGCAAUAGAUCAAUUUAAGGAUCUAUGCUCUGAUACCAUGUUAAUUUGAGUAGGGUUUUUCUGCAGAAUUCAAUUGUAUAUUCUUAUUGCAGAAACAGGGGAUUUAUACAUCACAAUGUACAGCCUUCCUAGUUGUAUUUGGAAAGGAAACAAUUACGAUCCCAUGACAAUCGGGAUUUACAUAAAUAGAAGAUAAACGUGACUAUUACAGCUAUAAUUUCCUAUUGUCUCUCGGUUUGUACAGCUCAUGCCAACAC
Molecule: long non-coding RNA, 5176 nt
Filed under: Populus trichocarpa (black cottonwood)
Lineage: Eukaryota; Viridiplantae; Streptophyta; Magnoliopsida; Malpighiales; Salicaceae
Description: long non-coding RNA (PTRI_LNC004600)
Source: RNAcentral